Molecule: ribosomal RNA, 442 nt
Filed under: uncultured bacterium
Lineage: Bacteria
Description: partial 16S ribosomal RNA
Rfam family: Bacterial small subunit ribosomal RNA
Source: RNAcentral
CCUACGGGAGGCAGCAGUGGGGAAUAUUGGGCAAUGGGCGCAAGCCUGACCCAGCAACGCCGCGUGAAGGAAGAAGGCUUUCGGGUUGUAAACUUCUUUUGUCAGGGAAGAGUAGAAGACGGUACCUGACGAAUAAGCCACGGCUAACUACGUGCCAGCAGCCGCGGUAAUACGUAGGUGGCAAGCGUUGUCCGGAUUUACUGGGUGUAAAGGGCGUGUAGCCGGGUUGACAAGUCAGAUGUGAAAUCCUGCGGCUUAACCGAAGAACUUCAUUUGAAACUGUUGAUCUUGAGUACUGGAGAGGCAGACGGAAUUCCUAGUGUAGCGGUGAAAUGCGUAGAUAUUAGGAGGAACACCAGUGGCGAAGGCGGUCUGCUGGACAGCAACUGACGGUGAGGCGCGAAAGCGUGGGGAGCAAACAGGAUUAGAUACCCCAGUAGUC